AACGCACAUUGCGCCCUGUGGUAUUCCACAGGGCAUGCCUGUUUGAGCGUCAUUUCUCCCUCAAACCUCUGGUUUGGCGUUGAGUGAUACUCGGUUUACUUGAAAAACAUGAAAAGCAUAACUAUUAGGUUUUACCAACUCGUUAUACUAAUCUACAAGUUUGACCUCAAAUCAGGUAGGACUACCCGCUGAACUUAA
This 198-nucleotide unclassified non-coding RNA is filed under the name uncultured fungus. Its description in RNAcentral is "partial contains 5.8S ribosomal RNA, internal transcribed spacer 2, and large subunit ribosomal RNA". The stretch from base 1 to 52 matches the Rfam family "5.8S ribosomal RNA", at positions 103 to 154 of the family's 154-position model. RNAcentral also lists the same sequence under 2 other names. The record is from RNAcentral. Lineage: Eukaryota; Fungi.